This 96-nucleotide ribosomal RNA is filed under the name uncultured bacterium. Its description in RNAcentral is "partial 16S ribosomal RNA". It matches the Rfam family "Bacterial small subunit ribosomal RNA", at positions 1388 to 1482 of the family's 1533-position model. The record is from RNAcentral.
CACCGCCCGUCACACCAUGGGAGUUGGUUUCACCCGAACGGCAGUGCGCUAACCGCAAGGAGGCAGCUGACCACGGUGGGAUCAGCGACUGGGGUG